This 496-nucleotide ribosomal RNA is filed under the name uncultured bacterium. RNAcentral describes it as "partial 16S ribosomal RNA". It matches the Rfam family "Bacterial small subunit ribosomal RNA", at positions 29 to 507 of the family's 1533-position model. The record is from RNAcentral.
AUGAACGCUGGCGGCGUGCCUAAUACAUGCAAGUCGAGCGAACGGACGAGAAGCUUGCUUUUCUGAUGUUAGCGGCGGACGGGUGAGUAACACGUGGAUAACCUACCUAUAAGACUGGGAUAACUUCGGGAAACCGGAGCUAAUACCGGAUAAUAUUUUGAACCGCAUGGUUCAAAAGUGAAAGACGGUCUUGCUGUCACUUAUAGAUGGAUCCGCGCUGCAUUAGCUAGUUGGUAAGGUAACGGCUUACCAAGGCAACGAUGCAUAGCCGACCUGAGAGGGUGAUCGGCCACACUGGAACUGAGACACGGUCCAGACUCCUACGGGAGGCAGCAGUAGGGAAUCUUCCGCAAUGGGCGAAAGCCUGACGGAGCAACGCCGCGUGAGUGAUGAAGGUCUUCGGAUCGUAAAACUCUGUUAUUAGGGAAGAACAUAUGUGCAAGUAACUGUGCACAUCUUGACGGUACCUAAUCAGAAAGCCACGGCUAACUACGUG